UUAUUUUUUAUACUAUGGCAAUAAAAGAUUCCCAAACUAACAUACUAUUUUUUUUUUUUGAGACAGAGUUUCGCUCUUGUUACCAAGGCUGGAGUGCAAUGGCGCGAUCUCGGCUCACUGCAACCUCUGCCUCCUGGGUUCAGGCAAUUCUCCUGCCUCAGCCUCCUGAGUAGCUGGGAUUACAGGCACGUGCCACAAUGCCCAGCUAAUUUUUUGUAUUUUUAGUAGAGACGGGGUUUCACCAUGUUGACCAGGAUGGUCUCGAUCUCUUGACCUUUUGAACCACCAUGCCUGGCCUACACUACGUUUUCUUACGGAAUUGAGUCUAUUUCUGGAUUUUCUGUUUCCUUGGUCAUGCACCAGUGCCAUCCUAUUUUAAAAUAGAGGCUUUCAAAUUUUUAUGUCUGAUUGGGCAAGUCCCCCUUCCUGUAUAUUUUUAAGUAAGUCUCAUUGCUUCGUAGCCACAAUUCAUUUUUAAAAUCUUUUUUUAUUUUAUUUAUUUUUGAGCCAAGAUCUUGCUCAGUUGCCCAGGCUAAUUCUCCUACCUUAGCCUCCAGAGUAGCUGGGACUACAGGCAUGUGCCAUCACACCCAGCUAAUUUUUUCUUUCUCUCUCUCUUUCUUCCUUCCUUCUUUCUCUUUCGUUUCCUUUUUCUUUUCUUUUCAGCAGAGAUGAGGUCUUACCAUGUUACUCAGGCUGGUCUUGAAUUCCUGAACUCAAGUGAUCCUCCUCUCUCGGCUUCCCAUCGUGCUGGGAUGACAGAGAUGGGGUUUUGCCAUGUUGCCCAAGCUGGUCUCAAAUUCCUGGGUUGAAGCAAUCUGCCUGCCUCAGCCUCCCAGAGAGCUGGGAUUACAGGUGUGAGCUGCAGAGCCUGACUUCUUGGGAGAAAUUGAAAAUAAUCUUGCUCUGUCAUCCAGGCUGGAGUGCAAUGGCGCAAUCUUGGCUCACUGCAACCUCUACUUCCUAGAUUCAAGCAAUUAUCCUACCUCAGCUUCCUGAGUAGCUGGGAUUACAGAUGUGUGCUACCAUGUCAGGUGAGUUUUUGUGUUUUUAGUAGAGACAUGGUUUCACCAUGUUGACCUGCUUGGUCUCGAACUCCUGACCUCAUGAUCUGGCCCACCUUGGCCUCCCAAACUGUUGCAAUUAUAGGCAUGAGCCACUGUGCCUGAGCCUACUUGGUUUUACAGAAGCAGAACUCGCAACGUGCCCACCCAGAGUCAUGUGGCACUAAUGCCAUUGAGUUCUCACCAUGCUUCAGACACUGGGCUAAGUUUUUGGGGGGGACAGUCUUGCUCUGUCAUCCAGGUCGGAGUGCAGUGGUGCCAUCUCAGCUCACUGCAACUUUGGCCUACUGGGUUCAGGUGAUUCUCCUGCCUCAGAUUACAGGUGCCGCCCCAUGCCUGGCUAAUUUUUGUAUUUUUAGUAUAGAUGGGGUUUUGCCAAUGUUGGCCAGGCUGAUCUCGCACUCCUAACCUCAAGUGAUCCACCCGCCUUGGCCUCCCAAAGUGCUGGGAUUACAGGUGUGAGCCAGCCCAAAAGAUAGCUCUUAGAAAUUAAAAAUAUUAGAUUAGAUGAAAAACUCCAUAAAGAGUUACAGGCGUGGUGGCUCAUGCCUAUAAUCCCAGAAUUUAGGGAGGCUGAGGUGGGCGGAUCAUGAGGUGAGGAGUUCAAGACUAGCCUGACAAACAUGGUGAAACCUCGUCUUUACAAAAAAUACAAAAAUUAGCUGGGCAUGGUGGCACGUGCAUGUAAUCCCAGCUACUCAGGCGGCUGAGGCAGGAGAAUCCCUUGAACCUGCGAGGCGGAGGUUGCAGUGAGCCAAGAUCUCAUCAUUGCACUCCAGCUUGGGUGACAGAGCAAGACUCUGUUUAAAAUAAAAUAAAAUAGUGAAUUUUAUGUUAUGUGAAGUAUAUCUCAAAUUUUUAAUGCUGUAAAUAAUAAAAAAGAUCAACAAAGAGAAAGAGAGCAUAAAUAAUCUACUUUGACUAUUAAACCAGUAUGUUGACAUGUAUGAACCAGUAUGCUGACACUUAAUCUCUUUAACUACAAAAUGGUGCGAGAUAAAAUUGCCCCAAUAAAGCAAUAAUGAAUUUGUGAUGAUGGUGGUAUUUUUUUCCUUUCCAAUUUAUUGAAGCAGUAAAAAUGAGUCUGGUGUUAUAAACAAGUAAUGAAAUGACCUUACAUAAAAAUUAUGAUAUUGCCAGGCGCAGUGGCUCACACUUGUAAUCCCUGCUCUUUGGGAGGCUGAGGCAGCCAGGUUAUUUGAGCUCAGGAGUUCAAGACCAGCCUGGCCAAUAUGGUGCAACCCUAUUUCUAUCAAAAAUACAAAAAAUUAGCUGGGCAUGGUGUCCUUUGGUCCCAGCUACUCCGGAGGCUGAGGUGGGUGGAUUGCUUGAGCCUGGGAGGUUGAGGCUGCAGUGAGCAGAGAUUAUACCACUGCACUCCAGCCUGGGCAACAGAAAGAGACAUUGUCUAAAAAAACAUAUUAUGAGGCACAGUGAUAUUAUAUUAAAUGAUUAUACAAACUGAUAAUCUAGAUAAUGUAUAUUACUUGAUUAUACAAACUGAUGAUAUAGAUAUAAAAAGCAUAAGAAGUAUAAAAAAAUAAAGUAUAAGAAGGCUUAAGCUGCAAUAUCUAAUAAUAUCAUUUAUAAUUACUUAAAUAUGGUGGUGGUGUGGUCAUGUCUAGGAAUGUAACACGUUAAAAAAAUCUAUGGCCAGGCACGGUGGCUCAUGUCUAUAAUCCCAGUACUUUGCGAGGCCAAGGCAGGCAGUUCACCUGAAGUCAGGAGUUCAAGACCAGCCUGGCCAACAUGGUGAAACCCUGUUCCUACUAAAAAUACAAAAAUUAGCCAGGUCUGGUGGUGAACGCCUAACAGAAUCCCAGCUACUUGGGAGGCUGAAGCAGGAGAGUCACUGGAACCCAGGAGGCAGAGGUUGCAGUGAGCAGAGAUCAUGCUACUGCACGUUAGCCUGGGUGACAGAGCAAAACUCCGUCUCAAAAACAAACAAACAAAAACCAAGAAUAACCAAAUCUCUUAAUUUAUUAUUCCCAUCACUUGGGAACAUUGGUCCAAUUAUCAUGGAGUGAUGAUGAUAUCAAGAAAACAAACUUAAAUUAUUCACACAACUCAACAGCAGAAAAACAAAUCAUCAAUUUAAAAAUGGGCAAUGGACUUGAAUAGAUAUUUCUUUAAAGAAGACAUAAAAAUAGCCAACAGGCAUAUAAAAAGGUGCUCAAUGUUACUAGUCAACAGGGAAAUGCAAAUGAAACUAUAAUGAAUUAUCACUUCACAUCUGUUAGAAUGGUGAUUAUCAGAAAGACAACAGAUUAAGUGUUGGUGAGGGUGUGGAGUAAGGGAACCCUUGCAUACUGUUGGUGGGAAUGUAAAUUGGCAUAGGCAUUGUAGAAAACAGUAUGGAAGUUUUUAAAGAAAUUAAAAAUAGAAUUACCAGAUGGCUCAGUAAGCCCUUUGCUGGGUAUAUAUAGCCAAAGGAAAUGAAAUCACCCCUUUGUAAAGAUACCUGCAUUCCCAUGUUCAUUGCUAUGUUCAUUGUCAUGUUCAUUGCAGUAGUAUCAACAAUAGCCAGGUCGGGCAGUGGCUCACACCUAUAAUCCCAGCACUUUGGGAGGCCCAGGUGGGUGGAUCAUCUGAGGUCAGGAGUUUGAGACCAGCCUGGCCAAUACAGUGAAACCCCAUCUCUACUAAAAAAAAAUUAGCUGGGCAUGGUGGUGGGCACCUGUAAACCUGCUACUUGGGGGGCUGAGGCAGAAGAAUAGCUUGAAUGAGGGAGGUGGAGGUUGCAGGUUGCAGUGAGCCGAGAUCACACCAUUGCACUACAGCCUGAGCAGCAAGAGUAGAAAACUCCGUCUCAAAAAACAAAACAACAACAACAACACCAAAAAAAAACCAAUAGCGUGCGUGCACACACACACAGUGGAAUAUUAUUCAGCUAUAGAAAAGGAGAUCCUGCCAUUUGCCACAACACAGAUGAAACUAGAAGGUAUUAUAUUAAGUGAAAUAAGCCAGACACAUAAAAGUACUACAUGAUCUCUCUACUUAUAUGUGGGAUCCAAAAAAAGGAAAGAAAAAAGGUAAUUCCGGAGCAGAGGUACCCUUGAAGAAUGCAGAGAAAAGUCACAGUAUCUUUAGACACCUUGGUAGGACUGACUUUGGUCUGUUAGUUGCCAAAAUGGUACAGUUUAGGGGAGUGUAGAAAAGACCUCUCUGCUUAAUUUAUUCUCAAGUUCUCCACUUUGCCAAGACUCAUAGUUAAUUGUUUGCAAAACCCCCGGGGGUCUUUUAGCUCCUCUUUGUUUUUUUUUUCUGCAUAUUACCAACUUGCUUUUAUUGAUGAAUAUCACAAACUUCAAUCAUUUAAAAAAUAUUAUUCUGCAUGCAUUUAACAAAUCUGACAAAAGAACAAGUAUCCAGUUUAUUUGCAUUGUAACUAUGACAUUAUAACUGAACUCUUUAAAACUCCUUAGCUCCUCUUUAAAUAGUUCCUUCACCUUGCUGUAGCUCAGAGAUUCUUACCUGGAGGCAAUUUUGCCCACCUCCCCAGAGGGCUUUUGGCAAUGUUUGGAGGUAUUUUUAGUUGUCACAAUUAGAGAUGGUGCUACUGACAUCUAGUGGGAAGAGGCCAGGGAUGCUGCUGAACACCCUGCAAUGACAAUGUGCAGGAUGGCCCCUCACAGCAAAGGAUGAUCAGACUCAGAUGUCAAUGGCCAAAUUGAGAAACCCUGAGUCUUGUCUAUGGGCACUGCUUCCUCUUUAGCCCUUUUAGAUCAUCUGUGUUUUCUCAUGCCGUGGGGUUUGGAGGUAGAGUGAGGGUCUUCUUCCCUUGUUAUUGCUUCUUGCAAACAAUUCUCCCUCCCUAAAUCCUUAAAAAAGCUCAACUUAACUUUGAAUUUUACAUCAUUAGACAUGAUCACUUACUACUUCUCCUUACUGCAGUCAUCUACAGAUUUUCACUGCUUUCAUUGUCAUUCUUUCCAACACAACUAUUUUAAAUCUUGGUGAUUUCAUAAUCCACACAGAUGAAGCUUCCAACAUCCUGGACUCUCAGUUCCUUGUAUUCCACUCCUGCAGGGAGUAUGGCUGUCCAUUGCAGUCACUUCCUCACCUACACGGCCAUAAUUGCCAUCAUCUGAAUUCCACUUUCUGACCACUACCUCCUAUCAUUUUAGCCCAUUCCUGUAGUAGGUUGAUUUCAACAAACCUUUGAUCUCAUUAGGACAACCAAUCCAUCAAUCAAUUGCAUAGUAUUUAUACUAUAAAAAUCAGCAAAUCCACAAAUUAGUGUUCUUUUCCUUUCUUUCAGAAAGCUAGUUUUUAAACAUUUACCUCUUAUGUAUUCAUGAGAUACACCUUAAGCAAUCUAUGUAUAUGUGUGUGUGUGUAUAUAUAUAUAUUUGUAGAUAUAUAUGUAUACAUAUAUACAAUGUCGCUUUGCACAUUUAAAAAUUUUACAUACCUGGCUUACUAUAGUGUGUUUUCUGAUAUAACUUCCCCCCCACAACAUUUAGAUUAUGAGAUGCAUUCAGGUUGAUAUAUGUAACUCUGGAUUACUCUUAUUAUUAUUGUUAUUAUUUUUUGAGACAGAGUCUCACUCUGUCACCCAGGCUGUAGUUCAGUGUUGUGAUCUUGGUUCACUGCAGCCUCUGCCUCCGAGAUACAAGUGAUCUUCCCACUUUAACCUCCUGGGUAGCUGGGACUACAGGCCUGUGCCACCACAUCUGAUUAAUUUUCAUAUUUUUAGUAGAGGCUGGGUUUCGCCAUAUUGACCAGGCUGGUCUAGAACUCCUGACCUCAGGUGAUCUGCUUGUUUUGGCCUUUCAAAAUGCUAGGACUAUAGGCAUAAGCCAAGGCACCGAUUGGUUCAUUCAUUUUUACUCUCCUGCCCUACACAGUAAGAAUGUAACCUCCAUGAAGGCAUAGAUUUUUGUUGAUUAUAUUCUCUGCUGUAUUCCUAGGAUUUGGAACAGUGUCUGGCACAAAGCAGGCUCAUAUUUAUUUGAAGAAACAGGCCAGGCCUGGUAGCUCACGCCUGUAAUCCCAGUACUUUGGGAGGCCAAGGUGGGUGGAUCACUUGAGGUCAGGAGUUUGAGGCCAGCCUGGCCAGCAUGGGGAACCUGUCUCUACUAAAAAUACAAAAAUCAGCCAGGCAUAGUGGCAGAUGCCUGUAAUCCCAGCUACUCUGGGGCUAAGGCAAGAGACAAGAGAAUCACUUGAAUCCUGGAGGUAGAGGUUGCAGUGAGCCGAGAUCGUGCCAUUGCACUCAAGCCUGGGAGACGGAGCAAGACUCCAUCUCAAAACAAAAACAUGAAAACAAAAAUUAGCCGGGCGUGGUGGCUCACGCCUGUAAUCCCAGGUGCUCAGCAGGCUGAGGCAGGAGAAUCACCUGAAUCUUGGAGGAGUAUGUUGCAGUGAGCAGAGAUUGUACCACUGCACUCCAGCCUAGGCCACAGAGUGACACUUCGUCUUAAAAUAAAAUAAAAUAAGAUAAAAUGAAAUGAAUGGUGUGCCUGAAAUUCUAUCUUUGUCACUUCUCGAAGAUAUUCCUUGGUUAUUUGUCUUUUGGUUUCUGUUUUUUUUUUUUUAAAUAAAGAUGGGGUUUCACCAUGAUGGCCAGGCUGGUCUUGAACUCCUGACCUCAAGUGAUACACCCACCUCGGCCUCCCAAGGUGCUAGGAUUGCAGGCGUGAGCCACCGCGCCCGCCUUUUUUUUUUUUUUUUUUUUGCUGCCCCUUGUGGAGCAGGGCUACCCCAUACACAGUGUGUCCAGAGUAGCCUAUGUUGCUGUUUGGUAGCUUAGCAGAUCUUACUAUCCUGAACCACUUGGGUUUUCAAACCUUAUCAAUAAAUUUAUUUUGCAUAUCCUUUGUGACCAGAAGAGGGCAAGCUUGGAAGGAAAAAGAAAUAGGUGAGAAAUGGAACUAAGUCCUAAAUGUAGGACGCUGCCUGUUUUGGAUAUCUGAAGCCACCAGGUGGCAGUAUGAGCAUGCUGGAAAUUUAAGGUCCGGGAUUCAGGCUACAGGGGUCUCCUGAUGCAGAACAGUGCCCCAAACUUACACAAUUUCCACUUUAUUUCUCCUUUUAGUCGACUUGUAAUUUAUUAACAUAAUUAUUCUGUAGGUUUAUAUAAGUUGAUACUUUCUGUUUUCCCUUACAUUUGAUAAUACUAAAUUUAAAAUAUUGGAGCAUAAUAAAUAAAAAUCACAUAGCAGGGUGCGGUGGCUCACACCUGUAAUCCCAGCACCUUGGGAGGCCGAGAGAGGAGGAUCUCUUGAGCCCAGGAGUUCAAGAUCAGCUUGGGCAACAUGGAGAGACCUUGUCUCUCCAAAAAAAAAAAGCUAGGCGUGGUGGUGAGCACCUAUGGUCUCAGCUACUUGGGAGGCUGAGGUGGAAAGAUCACUUAAGCCCGGUAGGUUAAGGCUGCAGUGAGCUGUGUUUGCACCACAGCAUUCUAGCCUGGGCGAGAGUGAGACCGUGUCUCAGAAAAAACCAAAAACUGAAAACAAAACAAAAUCAAACAAAAAAAAAGACAAAAAUCAAAACAAAACAAAAAACUCACAUAACAUACAAAUUACUAUUAAGCCUUUCUUUUCUUUCUUUUGUUCUUUCUCUUUCUUCCUUCCUUGCUUCCCUCCCUCUCUUUCCUCUCUCUCUCUCUCUCCCUCUCUGUGUCUCUCUCUUUCUUUCUUAACAUGGUCUGACUCUGUCACUUAGGCUGGAGUACAGUGGUGCAAUCUCAGCUCACUGUAACCUCUGCUUCCUAGGUUCAAGCGAUCCUCCCUCCUGAGUGUCAGGGACUACAGGUGUGUGCUACCAUGCCUGGUUACUUUUUGUAUUUUCUGUAGUGACGGGGUCUUGCCAUGUUGCCCAGGAGGGUCUCCAACUCCUGAGCUCAAGCAAUCUGCCUGCCUCGGCCUUCCAAAGUACUGGGAUUACAGGCUUGAGACACUGUGCCGGGCCUUAAACUGUUUUAAAAUGUCAAAUUCGGUGGGUUUUAGUAUAAUACAUUCACAAUGUUGUGCAAUCAUUACUAUGACCUAAUUCCGGAAUAUUUACAUUAAACAAAAGGAAAUCAUAUCUAUUCAGUCACUUGCCAGUCUCCCCCCCCCAUCUUCUCACAAGUACUAAUCUACUUUAUGUCUUUUUGAUUGCCUGUUCUGGAGAUUUCUUGUAAAUGGAAUCAUACGAAAUAGCAGCACAUUUUUUUUUUGAAACAGAGUAUUGCUCUGUUGCCCAGGCUGGAGUGCAGUGGCUCGAUCUCAGCUCACUGCAACUUCUGCCUCCUGGGUUCAAGGGAUUCUCCUGCCUCAGCCUCCAGAGUAGCUGAGAUUAUAGGUGCCCGCCACCAUACUUGGAUAAUUUUUGUAUUUUUAGUAGAGUCUGGGAUUCACCAUGUUGGCCAGGCUGGUCUUGAACUCCUGACCUCAGGUGAUCCACCCGCCUCGGCCUCCCAACGUGCUGAGAUUACAGGUGUAAGCCACCGCUCCCAGCCAGCAAAACAUAUUUUUAAUUGAAAUAUUUAUCUAUGGCAUCAUACAGAUGGACAUUGGAGACAGAAUUGGGGAGGGUUGAAGGGGAGAUGAGGGAUGAAAAACUACCUGUUGGAUACAAUGGACAGUAUGCGGUGACCAGUGCACUAAAAAUCAAGAUUUCACCAUUUCACAGUUCAUCCAUGUAACCAAAAACCAUUUGUAUGCCUAAUGCUAUUGAAAUUAAAAAAUAUUUUAAAGGAUUUAUCUAUGGCAUCAAAAUAAGACUAUGUUUCUAGGAAUUUCAUCUAAAAUAUCAAAGUUACGUACAAGAUGGAAAAACAUAUGAUUUUGGAACAAUUGGUAACUCUAACUUACUUUAAUAUUACAUAAUAAAAUUUUAAGGGCUACUUAAAUUGUGUUUGCCUGCGCCCUUGGGCAGGGACAUGCUUUGAUUCUCUUAAUUGCAAUGAGAUAAAGGCUGAUGAAUGGAAGUGAUGGAGAAUGAUUAGCAGGAUUCAUGUUCCCUUAAUUCAUGUUCCCUUAAUUCCCUAGCAAAUAAAAUGCAAAGCAAUAUCCAGUCAUUAUUUAUCACGUUUUCAGGCUCCUACAUAGUCUUCAUGGUUCUGAGCCCAGAGCUGGCAGCAAGUGGUCCCUGAUGGGUUUUGCCCAUGGCAUAGGCACACCACCUCUGGACAUAGCUGGGCUAAUGUUCAGCAAAAGUUUACAGAAACAGGGAGAGUGGUUUGGCUUCCUUUCAUAACUUUCCCAGGGUUAGAACUUGUGAGUUCAUGGCAACGUUUAGUCACGACUUAAUUUUGUAAAUAGAGACAGGGUCCCCAUCUUUCUCCUGGACUGGAGUACAGUGGUGUGAUCCUAACUCACUGCAGCCUUGAACACCUGGGCUCAAAGAAUCCUCCUGUUCAGUCUUCCAAGUAGCUGGGACUUUACAGGUGCAGGCCACCACACUCAGCUAAUAUUUUUUGAAUUUUUAAAAAUAGAGACAAGGUUUUGCCAUGUUGCCCAGGCUAGCCUCGAACUCCUAGGCUCCAGGGAUUUGCCCAUCUUGGCCUCCCAAAGUGCUGGGAUUAUAGGCAUGAGCCACCAUGCCCGGCCUCCUUCUUCUUACUUUAUUUUAUUUUCCAGCCUCCUUUUUCUUUUUCAUUUUUCUUUUCUUUUGUUUUUUUGAGACAUAGUCUUGCUCUGUCGUUCAGGCUGGAGUGCAGUGGCACAAUCUCGUCUCAGUGCAACCUCCAUCUCCUGGGUUCAAGUGGUUCUCCUGCCUCAGUUUCCUGAGUAGCUGGAACAUGCCUGGCUAAUUUUUUGUAUUUUUAGCACAGACGGGGUUUCACCAUGUUAGUGAGGACGGUCUUGAUCUCCUGACCUCGCAAUCUGCCCACCUCAGCUUCCCAAAGUACUGGGAUUACAGGCGUGAGCCACCACACUCAGCCCCAAAUUUCUGUUUUUUAAUAGAGAUGGUGUCUUACUUUGUUGCCUAGGCUAGUUUCAAACUUCUCGGCUUAAGCAAUCCUCCCACCACACCCUCCCACUCUUGGCUAAUUUUAAAGUCUUUUUUGUUGUUGUUGUUGAGAUGGAGUUUCACUCUUAUCCCCCAGGCUAGAGUGCAAUGGUGCCAUCUUGGCUCACUGGAACCUCUGCCUCUCAGGUUCAAGCAAUUCUUCUGCCUCAGCCUCCUGAGUAGUUGGGAUUACAAGCACCCACCACCAUGCCUGGCUAAUUUUGUAUUUUUAGUAGAGAUGGGGUUUCACCAUUUUUUGUAAGGCUGGUCUUGAACUCCUGACCUCAGGUGAUCCACCACCUUGGCCUCCUAAAGUGCUGGGAUUACAGGCGUGAGCCACUGUGCCUGGCUGAUUUUUAACUCUUUUGUAGAGACUAGGUCUCAUUAUAUUGUCAGGGCUGGUCUCGUACUUCUGGGCUCAAGUGAUCCACUUGCUUGGUAUCCCAAAGUUCUGGGAUUACAGGCAUGAGCCACCAUGCCCGGCCUCCAGCAGUUUUUCUGAGGGACUCCCACAGCACUGAAUUGACAUUUCACUAGUGACAAACACAGAAAGAUGCAUCUACUUUAAAACUGAAAUUCACUGAAGUAAAAGUGACAGGAACAUAGGGAGAAAAAUGACUCUAUAGCCUUCAUAAUUUUUUUAAUAAUAGAAAUAGGCAGCUAUGUCUUGAAGAUUACAACAUUCAGAUUUUUAAAAAUUCAGAGAGCUGGAUGUGGGUGGCUUGUGUCUAUAAUCCCAGCUGCUUGGGAGGCUGAAGUGAGAGGGUCGCUUUAGGCCAGAUGUCCCAGACCAGACUGGACAACAUAGCAAGACCCCCCAUCUCUUAAAAAAAGUUUUAAACAAUUAUCUGGGCUUGGUGGCACACACCUGUAGUCCCCACUCAGGAGACUGAGGUGGGAGGAUCACUUGAGUCAGGAGUUCAAGGCUUCAGUGAGCUAUAAAAAUGCCACUGCACUGCAGCCUGGGUGACAGAGUGAGACCCUGUCUCAAAAAAAAAAAAAAUUCAAGAAAAGGAAAGCCAUAAUUCAUUGGAAUGAUGGCUGGGCACAGUGGCUCACACCUGUAAUCCUGGCACUUUGGGGGGCCAAGGACGGUGAAUUACCUGAGGUCAGGAGUUUGAGACCAGCCUGGACAACAUGGCAAAACACUGUCUCUAGUAAAAAUAGAAUAAUUAGCUGGGUUUGGUGGCACACACCUGUAGUCCCAGCUACUCUGGAGACUGAGGCAGGAUAAUUGCUUGAAACUGGGAGGCAGUGGUUGCAGUGAGCCAAGAUCGCACCACUGCAUUCCAGCCUAGGCACCAGAGUGAGACUGUCUCAAGAAAAAAAAAAAUUCACUGGAGUGAGAUUUUCUUUUUUUUUUUGAGACGGAGUUUCGCUGUUGUUACCCAGGCUGGAGUGUAAUGGCACGAUCUCGGCUCACUGCAACCUCCGCCUCCUGGGUUCCAGCAAUUCUCCUGCGUCAGCCUCCUGAGUAGCUUGGACUACAGGCACGCACUACCAUGCCCAGCUAAUUUUUGUAUUUUUAGUAGAGACAGGGUUUCACCUUGUUGACCAGGAUGGUCUCGAUCUCUUGACCUCGUGAUCCACCCACCUCGGCCUCCCAAACGCACCACCAUACCCAGCUAAUUUUUGUAUUUUUAGUAGAGACGGGGUUUCACCUUGUUGACCAGGAUGGUCUCAAUCUCUUGACCUCGUUGAUCCACCCACCUCGGCCUCCCAAAGGGCUGGGAUUAUAGGUGGAGCCACCGCACCCGGCCCUGGAGUGAGAUUUUCAUUCAUUUAUCGUCAUUCAUUAAAUAUCUAGUAAGUGCCUGUUAUUUGCUCUGCACUGUGCUAGAUGUGCCAUGGUCAAGAGGAUUGGGUUGCCCUGAAAUAGUCAACUCUGAUUACAUAAUUUAAAAUGACCUCAGUGAGGAAGAGAAAAAGAUGUCUGAAAAAGCCAUUGUGAUAGUAUGGGGCAUGUUCUAAUUAGUUCCUAUAUUAAUAAAAAAUACAUGUAUGAUAGAAAUAAGGAAAUGUGACCAAAGAUGAAUAGAGAAAAUUCUACAAAUCUGUAAAAAUGGCAUGAGGAACACUAAAGCUCUAAUGAGGGGAGAAUUGCAAUGCCACUAAGGACAAGUAAACCAGUUUUAUAGUCUAGACACAGUGACUCACACCUGUAAUCCCAGCACUUUGGGAGGCCGAGGUAGGUAAAUCACCUUAGGUCAUGAGUUUAAGACCAGUCUGGCCAACAUGGUGAAACCCUGUCUCUACCAAAAAUACAAAAAUCAGCUGGUCAUGGUGGUGCAUGCCUGUAGUGCAGCUACUUGGGAUGCUGAGGUAGGAGAAUCGCUUGAACCCAGGAGGUGGCAGUUGUAGUAAGCCAAGAUUUUGACACUGCACUCCAGCCUGGGCAAUAGAGUGAGACUCUGUCUCAAAAACAAAAAAAGGAUUACAUUUAUCUCAAGAAGAUAAAAGAAGACCUAGGUCUGAUGCUUGGGCUGUGUAGUGUGAAUGACAGAGGAAGAAGCAGAACCCUUUAUGUCUGUCUUCUGUGUCACAGAAAAUGGUCUGGAUACUGAAAAAGGUAAAACAAAAGUGGGUCCGAAGGAACUGGAGCCCAAGAUGAGUGAGAAGUGUGAGAAUAUAUAAAUUGCACAGUGAUCUAAGUAAUUUUCAAUUAUCUGGUUUACGUGAAUUGCAUCCAGUUUACUCAGAGAGCCCUGAAUGAGUAGACGAACAGAUGUUCUGUUAUUUGAAAAUCAAGGAGAAUGAAAUCAAGAUCAGCUAUAGGCAAACACAGUGACAAUUUCUUUUUUCUUUUCUUUUCUUUCUUUUUUUUAUUUUUUAUUUUUGAGAUGGAAUCUCACUCUGUUGUCCAGGCUGGAGUGCAGUGGCGUGAUCUUGGCUCACUGUAACCUCCACCUCCUGGGUUCAAGUGAUUCUCAGCCUCCCCAGUAGCUGGGAUUACAGGCACCUGCUACAGUGCCCAGCUAAUUUUUUGUAAUCAGGCUGGUCUUGAACUCCUGACAUCGUGAUCCACAUGCGUUGGCUUCCCAAAGUGCUGGGAUUACAGGCGUGAGCCAUUGCACCUGGCUACAGUGGCAAUUUCUAAUAGGAGAAGGUGGAGCUCUCAGAUUAUAUGCUGGUGAAACUGGUUUUGAUUCUCGGCAAGAUUCAAAAAAGAAUUCUUCAAAGUAUCAUUUAUGUGGUUGCAUAAAGGAAACACAUUCUUAGAAGCGAGAGUUUGCUAGAGAUGUGUAUUUUCAGAUUAACCUUACUUUAUUUUUUCUUUCUUUUUUUUUUUGAGACAAGAUGUGGCUCUGUUGCCCAGGCUGAAGUGCAGUGAUACGAUUACAGCUCACCACAACCUCCACCUCCUGGGCUCAAGCCAUCCUCCCACCUCAGCCUCUUGAAUAGCUGGGACUACAGCCCAGGCUGGAAUACAGUGGCGAAAUCUCUGCUCACUGCAACUCUGCCUCUGGGGUUCAAGUGAUUCUCCUGCCAAUAGUUGGGAUUACAGGCACCGCAACCAUGGCCAACUAAUUUUUGUAUUUUAGUAGAGACCAGGUUUCACCAUGUUGACAAGGCUGGUCUCGAACUCCUGGCCUCAGAUGAUCCACCCACCUCAGCCUCCCAAAGUGCUUGAAUUACAGGCAUGAGCCAUUGUGCCCGGCCAUUCACAAUGUUUUAUUGAGUGAUACUACCUGUGUUUGGAAACAGUGAAUAGUGAGAUGUUUAGAUCAAAUAUAGGCCAUUGGUUUAACAUACAUACUUUAGCAUAAAGGACCAUUUCAUAAAUUACUUGCUUUGGUAUCUUUCUUUUAUGCUUUAAUGUGCUUACAAUGAUAACAGUGGAUGUAGAACCUGUGGAUAUGGAGAGCUAACUGCAAGACUUGAGUAUCUGCAGAUUCUGUUAUCCUAUAGAAUCCUGGAAUCAAUUCCCCAUGGAUACCAAGGGACAGCAGUACUGUGAAAACUACUUUAUACACAUAAACUCACAUUCUCAUUUUAAUCCUCACAAUAUCCUUUGAUGUACUCUUAUUACUGACACUUUGCAGAUGGGAAGCAGAGGCUUGGAGAGGUUAUGGAGCUUGCCCAAGGUUGCACAGUUGUAGGGCUUGGAAUCGAAUGAAGACAAUCUGACUUCAGACCUCUACUCGUCUUUUAACAUGGUAAAAAUAACACCCAUGUGGAAAAAUGCAUAAACAAUAAAUGCAUACUCUAACGAGUUAUCACAAAGCCCACAACAGUGUAAUUACCACCCAUACCAAGGAAUAGAAAAUUUGUAGAAUUCCAACCCAGUUGCCUCCUUGCAAUCUCAAAUCCCUCCUCAUAGGGCUCCUUCUGUCUCAGAGGUAGCCUCUAACCUCUCUUUUA
This is a non-coding RNA of Callithrix jacchus (white-tufted-ear marmoset), 14369 nucleotides long. Lineage: Eukaryota; Metazoa; Chordata; Mammalia; Primates; Cebidae. The record is from RefSeq and is a predicted model, not a curated record.